AGAGUGACGGUACCUGCAGAAGAAGCACCGGCUAACUCCGUGCCAGCAGCCGCGGUAAUACGGAGGAUCCAAGCGUUAUCCGGAAUCAUUGGGUUUAAAGGGUCCGUAGGCGGUCUGGUAAGUCAGUGGUGAAAGCCCAUCGCUCAACGGUGGAACGGCCAUUGAUACUGCUGGACUUGAAUUAUUAGGAAGUAACUAGAAUAUGUAGUGUAGCGGUGAAAUGCUUAGAGAUUACAUGGAAUACCAAUUGCGAAGGCAGGUUACUACUAAUGGAUUGACGCCGAUGUCGACGCGGCCG
This 298-nucleotide ribosomal RNA is filed under the name uncultured Flavobacterium sp. RNAcentral describes it as "partial 16S ribosomal RNA". It matches the Rfam family "Bacterial small subunit ribosomal RNA", at positions 466 to 761 of the family's 1533-position model. The record is from RNAcentral. Lineage: Bacteria; Pseudomonadati; Bacteroidota; Flavobacteriia; Flavobacteriales; Flavobacteriaceae.